CGCGUAGGUGGUUUGUUAAGUUGGAUGUGAAAGCCCCGGGCUCAACCUGGGAACUGCAUCCAAAACUGGCAAGCUAGAGUACGGUAGAGGGUGGUGGAAUUUCCUGUGUAGCGGUGAAAUGCGUAGAUAUAGGAAGGAACACCAGUGGCGAAGGCGACCACCUGGACUGAUACUGACACUGAGGUGCGAAAGUGUGGGGAGCAAACA
This 207-nucleotide ribosomal RNA is filed under the name uncultured bacterium. RNAcentral describes it as "partial 16S ribosomal RNA". It matches the Rfam family "Bacterial small subunit ribosomal RNA", at positions 568 to 774 of the family's 1533-position model. The record is from RNAcentral.